UACAUCGACUAAUACAUAUAGAUGUUCCUUAUUGCAAACACGACCACUGCGGUGCGCACGCAAACUCAAACACAAAGUUUUGAACCAAAGUAAAUAAAAGAAAAGCUUCCAAACUUGACAUCUUUUUUUUUGCGACAUCCAAACUUGAUAUCAAAAGAGCAAUUCUAUACUAAAUCUCUAACCGUGUCUUGCAAACACCUUCAUCCAUCGCGGUUGUCUCAAUAUUUCUGCAUCCCAUGUUUAUCAUUUGGAGCAGCAGAAACCACUUUUACAAUAAGUAUACAGUAUUCUUGCGCUCCCGCGCCGCGCUACAAACUAAAGUAUUUCUACUUACAAGUACCCGGCCCUAAAAAACUUCGUCAUCUCGUCUCGUAUCCAUCAUUUGGCUUUUUUAACAGCCACGAGAGUCCUCUGCGCGCGCAGGGUGACCCGGACAGUAGCGCGUCUGCCGGUGCCGGAGCCGCGGCAGCUGCGGCAGUCUGUGCGACCUGACCCAGUGCAUGUCCUGCACCCGACGUCACCGUCCGACCACCGGGAGCAGGGGCAUGCAACCUUCCCUGUGCCAGCGCACGUCGAGCAGCUUGGCCCCUGCGCGCCGCCGGCACCGGCUAGCGGUGGCCUCCACUCCGAGCACCUGUCGGCCGCCGCUACGCCGAUGAACGCGCCGACCCCGGCAGAUGCUACGGCGACGAUGAUGGGACCGACCAUCUUGUAAGAAUCUGAUGUACAAUGCAAGCUAGCUAAGAUCUCCAAAGAUCUCAGAAAAUUAAGAAGCCUAUCCUGGAGGAGUCCCUAGAAUGUUUUUUUCUUGAUGUAUGUAUGGGCUUGUAGCUAGAAUGUUUA
RNAcentral lists this long non-coding RNA (843 nucleotides) under Sorghum bicolor (sorghum). RNAcentral describes it as "long non-coding RNA (SBIC_LNC010763)". The record is from RNAcentral. Lineage: Eukaryota; Viridiplantae; Streptophyta; Magnoliopsida; Poales; Poaceae.